Long non-coding RNA from Bufo bufo (common toad), 149 nucleotides. RefSeq lists it as uncharacterized. The record is from RefSeq and is a predicted model, not a curated record. NCBI's taxonomy places the organism in Eukaryota, Metazoa, Chordata, Amphibia, Anura, Bufonidae. The transcript is spliced from 3 exons.
UCAGUUUCCCAGGUCUGCCGGGCCGCCACCUGGGCGUCGGUUCACACUUUUUCUAAGUUGUACCAUAUUCAUUCCUUGGCUUCUGCUGAUGCCAGUCUGGGAAGCAAGGUUCUGCAAGCAGCUGUGCUUUAGAUUGCCAUCUGGCGAUC